GAUGAACGCUAGCGGGAGGCUUAACACAUGCAAGUCGAGGGGCAGCACGUCUUCGGAUGGUGGCGACCGGCGCACGGGUGCGUAACGCGUAUGCAACCUACCCUAUGCUGGGGGAUAGCCCGGGGAAACCCGGAUUAAUACCCCAUAACAUUGCAGAAAGGCAUCUUUCAGCAUUUAAAGCUCCGGCGGUUAAAGAUGGGCAUGCGUGCCAUUAGCUAGUUGGUGAGGUAACGGCUCACCAAGGCUACGAUGGUUAGGGGGUCUGAGAGGAUGAUCCCCCACACUGGUACUGAGACACGGACCAGACACCUACGGGUGGCAG
This 322-nucleotide ribosomal RNA is filed under the name uncultured Bacteroidota bacterium. Its description in RNAcentral is "bacterial SSU rRNA". It matches the Rfam family "Bacterial small subunit ribosomal RNA", at positions 28 to 351 of the family's 1533-position model. The record is from RNAcentral. Lineage: Bacteria; Pseudomonadati; Bacteroidota.